This is a long non-coding RNA of Periophthalmus magnuspinnatus, 329 nucleotides long. RefSeq lists it as uncharacterized. The transcript is spliced from 3 exons. Lineage: Eukaryota; Metazoa; Chordata; Actinopteri; Gobiiformes; Gobiidae. The record is from RefSeq and is a predicted model, not a curated record.
UUAACUUAUCUGUUGUUGUUAUCUCAGGAUUUUCUUCUUUUCUUGGCGCAGGAAAGGUACCAGUAUGCUUCAGUGAAGAUGAGCUGGGAUGCUCUGCAGUCACUAGUAGAGGUCUGGAUGUGCGGUGUUACCCGAGAGCAUACCACAGACAAGAUUGGUUUGGACAGGAUAGAGGAACGUAGAUAAUCAGGUCCCGUUAGUUUCACACUUGCAUGACUAAAAUCAACAACAGAAUAAAUGCAAGUAAUGGAUUUGACCUUCACUUAAUUAUGUCAGUAAACACCAUGGUGAGAGACUGAAGAUGGAAGAAGUUGGAGCUAUGAAGAAAC